CAGCCGUGGGGUUUCAUUCAUUCCGGAGAUGUCACGGGGGGGUUUUGGAAUGUGUGUCCCUAACUUCCUGAUUUUCUGCCAUAUUCCAGCCCACCUGGCUAAUGCAAUGCGGAGUGACAGGGGAGCACCUCGGGUCUUCACGCACCUCGCUCUUCAGGCUCUCUCCUAGCUUUGCCUGUGCGUGGAAAUGUCAACAAGGAAGAUCAAUGGAGGCAAAAAAACAGGAGAACCCAUAAAUCCCGUUGAACCUGUCACGGCUGCCAAAUUAUGCUCUGAUAAAGCUUUUGGUGGCUAACGAUAUGGCCGUUCACCUGCAUGGACGCGACUGGGAGGGGGCUUUCUGGAGAGCAUCCGGCCCACGGUGGAGACACUUGUCAGAGAGUGUUAUCCGAAGCCUCUUUGUCUCUAACGAAGGGUGAAGCUUUGAAUGUGAUUAUUUCUAAACAAAUAAAUAAUAAGGAUAAUUUAAAAAUAAACAAAGAUCUGGAUUUAAAGGCUACUUAUUGUCCCAGGACCAAGAUUAAUGAGUUCUGGCCAGAAGAUUUCCCACCCGUAGGACUUAACGCUUUCUUCAACCAGGCUUUUAAUAUCAAGUAUCAAAUAGCCACCUGUGAAUGUAUAGCGGGUGUGCCAAAUGCCCAUGGGAUAAGUGAGUCAGGACCGUGUGGCUCCAUCUUUCCCGUGG
This is a long non-coding RNA of Lutra lutra (Eurasian river otter), 685 nucleotides long. RefSeq lists it as uncharacterized. The record is from RefSeq and is a predicted model, not a curated record. The transcript has 3 exons. Lineage: Eukaryota; Metazoa; Chordata; Mammalia; Carnivora; Mustelidae.